Molecule: ribosomal RNA, 381 nt
Filed under: uncultured eukaryote
Lineage: Eukaryota
Description: SSU rRNA
Rfam family: Eukaryotic small subunit ribosomal RNA
Source: RNAcentral
AGCUCCAAUAGCGUAUAUUAAAGUUGUUGCAGUUAAAACGCUCGUAGUCGGAUUUCGGGGCGUGCGGGCCGGUCUGCCGAUGGGUAUGCACUGGUCGUGCGCGUCCUUUCUUUCGGAGCUCUCUGCUGCUCUUAGCUGAGCGGUGGAGGGAGACGGAUCGUUUACUUUGAAAAAUCAGAGUGUUUCAAGCAGGCAGCUCGCUCUUGCAUGGAUUAGCAUGGGAUAAUGAAAUAGGACUCUGGUGCUAUUUUGUUGGUUUCGAACACCGGAGUAAUGAUUAACAGGGACAGUCAGGGGCACUCGUAUUCCGCCGAGAGAGGUGAAAUUCUCAGACCAGCGGAAGACGAACCACUGCGAAAGCAUUUGCCAGGGAUGUUUUCA